RNAcentral lists this ribosomal RNA (514 nucleotides) under Trachylepis brevicollis (Short-necked skink). RNAcentral's name for it is "partial 16S ribosomal RNA". It matches the Rfam family "Bacterial large subunit ribosomal RNA", at positions 1817 to 2597 of the family's 2925-position model. Lineage: Eukaryota; Metazoa; Chordata; Lepidosauria; Squamata; Scincidae. The record is from RNAcentral.
AGCCUUUAGCAAUACAAGUAUUAAAGGUCCCGCCUGCCCAGUGAAACCAUUCAACGGCCGCGGUAUUCUAACCGUGCAAAGGUAGCGUAAUCACUUGUCUUCUAAAUAAAGACCAGUAUGAACGGCUAAAUGAGGACAAACCUGUCUCUUAUGGUCAAUCAGUGAAACUGAUUUUCCAGUACAAAAGCUGGAAUAAUCACAUAAGACGAGAAGACCCCGUGGAGCUUCAAACAAAUCACUAAACAGAUUAGUGUGCUGUUUUAAGUUGGGGCGACUUCGGAAUAAAGAAAAACUUCCGAGCACAGAACCACUGCUUCUAACUAAGGUUAACAGACCUAAGUACAAAACUGAUCCGGCCACGCCGACCAACGAACCAAGUUACCCCGGGGAUAACAGCGCUAUCUUCUUCUAGAGUCCAUAUCAACAAGAAGGUUUACGACCUCGAUGUUGGAUCAGGACACCCAAAUGGUGCAGCCGCUAUUAAAGGUUCGUUUGUUCAACGAUUAAUAGUCCU